CCCUGGCCGGCCCCCAGCGGGCUACUCUCCUGAGAGCCCACUGCGCCUGCUCAGUAACCCAGGGGGCUCCCCAUCACCUGGAGUUCCCCAACCGUUUGGAUGCCCCCUGGCACUCAGCCAGCUCCAGCCCCACCCGAGAGGCGGAGAAGACCCCAGGAGGGCUGCAGCCAGGGCCAAGCUUGAGGGGACGCGGGCACACCCAGAGAUGCACAUCCCAGCGCCUCCCUUCCGCGGCCGAGGACCCCACCGCCCUCACCACUGGGGGAGACGACGGCAGACGAGGCAGAAAUGACGCAGACGUG
Molecule: long non-coding RNA, 302 nt
Filed under: Equus caballus (horse)
Lineage: Eukaryota; Metazoa; Chordata; Mammalia; Perissodactyla; Equidae
Description: lncRNA (ENSECAG00000053948.1)
Source: RNAcentral